Long non-coding RNA from Bos indicus x Bos taurus (hybrid cattle), 1302 nucleotides. Lineage: Eukaryota; Metazoa; Chordata; Mammalia; Artiodactyla; Bovidae. The record is from Ensembl.
CUUCCACUACGAUUCUUUCCCCUGGAGACCAGAAAUCAGAGCGUUAACAGUUACUCCGGGCCCGCGGUGUUGGGCAUUAGCGAUGCCUCCCAGGGCGUCCUGAAUUAUUCAGAGAGCAUCUUCGGGCUGUUGAGGGAUUUCCAAACCCCUCCUCCUACCACCACCAACAACCUUUUUCUUUCUAAAGAGACUGGUGAAAGCGUCUGUAAAUGCUUCAAAGGGGACAAAGUCUACAGCAACAUAUGAUGCCAUGACGAAACUCAAAAGGUCCUGGGAAGAGGCAAAACAAUGGACUUGAAGGGGAACUUCUCAUGAGGUGAAAUCUUAGAGGCAUGUGGCGAAAAUCUUCUGAUGUGAACUCGUCAAAAGAUUAAAGUGUUCAAUCUCCCCCUGGCAGGGUGAGACGAGCUGCCAGGAACCCAGAGAAAAGAUGAGGCAACUUGUCCAGAGUUGUCUAGAACUUCACAGCCAGGGGCUGACACUCGCUCUCUGGCCUCUGACUCCUCUCUUCUAACUCAGGGCUGAUACUCAGGGGGCCGAAAUGAUUCAGUCCGUGGGUCGCAGAAGAAGCAGACACGACUCAGCAACCAAACAGUAACAACCACCUAAGAAUGCUUUUGGCAUUUCAUCACAGCACCCAGACAGCAUGUGGCCAGCUUGGACUGAUUAGGUUCAUCCUAGCUUUGGAAGAGGGUUGUCCUCAAGAAAUAAAAACUCAAGACAAAUAAAAACUUAAGGAGGAAUGAAGAUAGCAUGCACCACCUACAACAUUUUUUAAAAGGGAGGCUACAUAUCCUGGUCAACCCUCCGCCUGACGUUCUCAGCUGUCAGUGGCACUUCAGACCCCACUCAUGGCUGCAGCUUUGGGGGCUCAGCCAGAUUCAGGUGAGAAAACGGGGGGUGCACAAGCGGGCAUCACAAUAACUGGGCCCCACAGUGCAGGAGGGUCAUGGUAUCAGGCGGGAGGAUGUGAACGUGCCGAAAUUUGACAAGUGCUGAGUCUCAAAUGCAGCAAUUCUGUACGGCUGGACUGGAGUGUCGGUGCUCAGCAUAGAGAGUGGGUCUCUGGGAAAGUCGUCAUUAAGUGGUCCCCAGAAUCCUCAAAACCCAGAGCAGAAGCGGCCUCAGUGCGCACGGGAAAUGGCUCAGGGAGGUGCAGCUUUUCUGAUAACGUGCCAUGGGGCAGUGUGCAGAAGCAUCCUGCAACCCCAGUGCCGUGAGGACAAAAGAGAACCACCCAACUUUCCAUCAGAGGCGCUGGGGAGAGACGGAGCAGCCUCGGGAGGCCCUCGUCGCAGAGCA